UGUGUGGCAUACGGCUCAGUAACACGUAGUCAACAUGCCCAGGGGACGUGGAUAACCUCGGGAAACUGAGGAUAAACCGCGAUAGGUCACUACUUCUGGAAUGGGUAAUGACCCAAACCUAUAUGGCCCCUGGAUUGGACUGCGGCCGAUCAGGCUGUUGGUGAGGUAAUGGCCCACCAAACCUGUAACCGGUACGGGCUCUGAGAGGAGGAGCCCGGAGAUGGGCACUGAGACAAGGGCCCAGGCCCUAUGGGGCGCAGCAGGCGCGAAACCUCUGCAAUAGGCGAAAGCUUGACAGGGUUACUCUGAGUGAUUUCCGUUAAGGAGAUCUUUUGGCACCUCUAAAAAUGGUGCAGAAUAAGGGGUGGGCAAGUCUGGUGUCAGCCGCCGCGGUAAUACCAGCACCCCGAGUGGUCGGGACGUUUAUUGGGCCUAAAGCAUCCGUAGCCGGUUCCACAAGUCUUCCGUUAAAUCCACCUGCUUAACAGAUGGGCUGCGGAAGAUACUAUGGAGCUAGGAGGCGGGAGAGGCAAGCGGUACUCGAUGGGUAGGGGUAAAAUCCGUUGAUCCAUUGAAGACCACCAGUGGCGAAGGCGGCUUGCCAGAACGCGCUCGACGGUGAGGGAUGAAAGCUGGGGGAGCAAACCGGAUUAGAUACCCGGGUAGUCCCAGCUGUAAACGAUGCAGACUCGGUGAUGAGUUGGCUUUAUGCCAACUCAGUGCCGCAGGGAAGCCGUUAAGUUUGCCGCCUGGGGAGUACGGUCGCAAGACUGAAACUUAAAGGAAUUGGCGGGGGAGCACCACAAGGGGUGAAGCCUGCGGUUCAAUUGGAGUCAACGCCGGG
RNAcentral lists this ribosomal RNA (844 nucleotides) under uncultured archaeon. RNAcentral's name for it is "bacterial SSU rRNA". It matches the Rfam family "Archaeal small subunit ribosomal RNA", at positions 75 to 922 of the family's 1478-position model. The record is from RNAcentral.